Molecule: ribosomal RNA, 322 nt
Filed under: uncultured eukaryote
Lineage: Eukaryota
Description: partial 18S ribosomal RNA
Rfam family: Eukaryotic small subunit ribosomal RNA
Source: RNAcentral
CCCUUAGAUGUCCGGGGCCGCACGCGCGCUACACUGAUGCAUUCAACGAGCCUAUCCUUGACCGACAGGUCCGGGUAAUCUUUGAAUCUGCAUCGUGACGGGGAUAGAUUAUUGCAAUUAUUAAUCUUCAACGAGGAAUGCCUAGUAGGCGCAAGUCAUCAGCUUGCGUCGAUUACGUCCCUGCCCUUUGUACACACCGCCCGUCGCUCCUACCGAUUGAAUGCUCAGGUGAGCCAUUCGGACUUUCAUCAUGCUGGUUUCCAGUUUUGAUGAAGGAAAGUCUUGCGAACCUUAUCAUUUAGAGGAAGGAGAAGUCGUAACA